CUCAUGAUGAAUGGAGAAGAUUUCACAGCAAAUUUGGAUGCAGAGCAAACAUAGAAGAGGCAUAUGGCUGCAACAAGCAAUCACAAGAAAAGCACAAGCAACAUAAGGAAAGCACAAGCAGCUAGAAGCGUAGCAAGGUCCCUAAAUCUGCACUGUCCAUCAAGAGAUGCUACCCAAAGAGGAGAGUCAAGGAAAGAAAGGGGAAAGAGCCAAAUUAGGAAAGAUUUGGGUGGCUAGGGUUUGGAGCAUCAAAAACUUAAGAACGAAAGAAGGGAG
Molecule: long non-coding RNA, 276 nt
Filed under: Elaeis guineensis (African oil palm)
Lineage: Eukaryota; Viridiplantae; Streptophyta; Magnoliopsida; Arecales; Arecaceae
Description: long non-coding RNA (EGUI_LNC012815)
Source: RNAcentral